Long non-coding RNA from Daphnia pulex (common water flea), 1626 nucleotides. RefSeq lists it as uncharacterized. The record is from RefSeq and is a predicted model, not a curated record. The transcript has 7 exons. Lineage: Eukaryota; Metazoa; Arthropoda; Branchiopoda; Diplostraca; Daphniidae.
UUGACUCGAAUACAUACACAGAGUGUUGGCAAGCUAUUUUAUCAUGGAGUUAGUGACACAUUGUAAACAUUCCAAUGUGCUGCCUAGAAAAGAGCACGCAACAUCCCAAUCUAAUUGCUUUAUGCUGGUAUUCCUCCAAUACCUAAUAAUUGUAUGUCAAAUAUUCUGACUGAAAACAUGGUAGCCAAAGGAAUACUCCUCGAUUGUCCCCCAUCCUCUUUCUUGGAUCUUAACUUCUGGGAUUGUUUGUUCAUAUUAGUUUACUCGCUGGCUGCCACAUUUUGCUUCCCAUGUGAGAUCUAUUGAAUUUCAUGUGUGUUGAUGGUGUGGAAUCCUGGUAUUGCUAACUAUUAGCUCCAGUCUAAAUUUGGUCUUGUUGCCGAUUUUUUUUGGCACAAUACUUUCCCUCCAGAAGCCGGUCUUUAGUGAAUUAUCGGAGGAGGUUGAUCCAAAAUAUUCAUUGGUGCAUAACUUAGUAGUACUGCAACUUUUACAGAUAGAUUCUCAUUAUGAUUUACUUUUUUUGUUCUUUUCAGAUUCACUGGCCUAUUAGCACGAAAUGUGGUAAAACCCUUUUGAGAAGAGCCUUGCUGUGCCAAACUUUAAAGUUCUGUUGAUCGUUCGACAUUCCAAGAACUUUUCCAGGAAUUCGAAGGAAGUUCUAGUGGCAGCUUAUGUUCACUGGCAAAUGCUGCGUGACACAUUAUGACACACAAAACAAGCCUAGACGCCCAUUUAUUCCACAUCAAACAUCUCUUUAUCCUUCGUGAGCAGAUAACUCCUUUUCAAGUCGACUUAAAAGUAGCGGUCGACGAAAUAGCGGGCAGCAGAGUGCCGAUUUGACUGUUGGGAACGUUAUAUUGGAGCACUUCCACCACUUUGAAAAAUUUGUGACAUCUAAUGUGAAGCUGCCCCUUCAACACUGCAACCAAAUUGAAGAUCUCGAUUCGGCUUUAGCCAACAACGAUCUAUCGAUUGCAAUGUGUGCCUUUUUUUCAAAAAUCUUGAAAACCAUGUCAUCUCGCGAUCAAGUAUCGAAGAUGUUGAUGAGCAAACUCUUCACCAAUUCAUUGUGCUCAAAGAUUCAAUGGUAAAAAAGAGGAAACGACAGGCGUCCAGGAUUCGGUCAUCUGACCAAUCUGAUUGCAGUUAUGGGAGUUAUUAUGAACAUCAUACGGGAAAUCAACAAUAAGGCACCUAAAGUGGACUUCAAAGAGCUAAUAGGAGCCAUCCAAAGCGCUCGUCGCAUCUUGUCGUUCGAGUUAAAAAACAAAGAUUUGAAUCAAAUCGAAGUCCCAGACGAAGUAGAAGGGCACAGCGAGCCGAUCGUAAAACCCAACUCGCUGUAGACAGCAGAAUGGCAGAACUGUACAACGCCAUCCUGAAUUUUGAACUAAAUUAGCGGUUUAUGUACAAGUACGUUGUAACUACACCACAAAAAUUAUUGAUUUAUCGCUCGCUAUAUGCUCAAUAACAUUUUCUUGUCUACAGGUCAUUUGUGUUCAGCAGUUAUUGAUUCCUCAAGUACAUCCCGUGUUUAAUUGCUCAUUUCAUUGCUCAUUUAAGAAUUUUAUGACGUUUCAGUUUAAGCAAUAUGACAAUACAUUUGAGAAUCCCGGAGUAAAA